CCGGGCGGGCUACUCCCACCACGCCUUGUUAGUGGGAGCAUUACACAAAUAUGAAGGCGGGCUGGAACCUCUCGGGGUUACAGCCUUGCUGAAUUAUUCACCCUUGUCUUUUGCGUACUUCUUGUUUCCUUGGUGGGUUCGCCCACCACUAGGACAAACAUAAACCUUUUGUAAUUGCAAUCAGCGUCAGUAACAAAUUAAUAAUUACAACUUUCAACAACGGAUCUCUUGGUUCUGGCAUCGAUGAAGAACGCAGCGAAAUGCGAUAAGUAGUGUGAAUUGCAGAAUUCAGUGAAUCAUCGAAUCUUUGAACGCACAUUGCGCCCUUUGGUAUUCCAAAGGGCAUGCCUGUUCGAGCGUCAUUUGUACCCUCAAGCUUUGCUUGGUGUUGGGCGUCUUGUCUCUAGCUUUGCUGGAGACUCGCCUUAAAGUAAUUGGCAGCCGGCCUACUGGUUUCGGAGCGCAGCACAAGUCGCACUCUCUAUCAGCAAAGGUCUAGCAUCCAUUAAGCCUUUUUUUCAACUUUUGACCUCGGAUCAGGUAGGGAUACCCGCUG
RNAcentral lists this ribosomal RNA (556 nucleotides) under Alternaria brassicae. Its description in RNAcentral is "eukaryotic LSU rRNA". The stretch from base 209 to 362 matches the Rfam family "5.8S ribosomal RNA". The record is from RNAcentral. Lineage: Eukaryota; Fungi; Ascomycota; Dothideomycetes; Pleosporales; Pleosporaceae.